RNAcentral lists this ribosomal RNA (815 nucleotides) under Enterococcus mundtii. Its description in RNAcentral is "bacterial SSU rRNA". It matches the Rfam family "Bacterial small subunit ribosomal RNA", at positions 10 to 796 of the family's 1533-position model. The record is from RNAcentral. Lineage: Bacteria; Bacillati; Bacillota; Bacilli; Lactobacillales; Enterococcaceae. RNAcentral also lists the same sequence under 1 other name.
AGUUUGAUCCUGGCUCAGGACGAACGCUGGCGGCGUGCCUAAUACAUGCAAGUCGAACGCUUCUUUUCCCACCGGAGCUUGCUCCACCGGGAAAAGAGGAGUGGCGAACGGGUGAGUAACACGUGGGUAACCUGCCCAUCAGAAGGGGAUAACACUUGGAAACAGGUGCUAAUACCGUAUAACAAUCGAAACCGCAUGGUUUCGUUUUGAAAGGCGCUUUACGGUGCCGCUGAUGGAUGGACCCGCGGUGCAUUAGCUAGUUGGUGAGGUAACGGCUCACCAAGGCCACGAUGCAUAGCCGACCUGAGAGGGUGAUCGGCCACAUUGGGACUGAGACACGGCCCAAACUCCUACGGGAGGCAGCAGUAGGGAAUCUUCGGCAAUGGACGAAAGUCUGACCGAGCAACGCCGCGUGAGUGAAGAAGGUUUUCGGAUCGUAAAACUCUGUUGUUAGAGAAGAACAAGGGUGAGAGUAACUGUUCACCCCUUGACGGUAUCUAACCAGAAAGCCACGGCUAACUACGUGCCAGCAGCCGCGGUAAUACGUAGGUGGCAAGCGUUGUCCGGAUUUAUUGGGCGUAAAGCGAGCGCAGGCGGUUUCUUAAGUCUGAUGUGAAAGCCCCCGGCUCAACCGGGGAGGGUCAUUGGAAACUGGGAGACUUGAGUGCAGAAGAGGAGAGUGGAAUUCCAUGUGUAGCGGUGAAAUGCGUAGAUAUAUGGAGGAACACCAGUGGCGAAGGCGGCUCUCUGGUCUGUAACUGACGCUGAGGCUCGAAAGCGUGGGGAGCAAACAGGAUUAGAUACCCUGGUAGUCC